AACGAACGCUGGCGGCAGGCUUAACACAUGCAAGUCGAACGGGCGUAGCAAUACGUCAGUGGCAGACGGGUGAGUAACACGUGGGAAUAUCCCUCUCAGUCCGGAAUAACUCAGGGCGACUUGAGCUAAUACCGGAUACGUCCUUCGGGAGAAAGAUUUAUCGCUGAGAGAUUAGCCCGCGUCUGAUUAGCUAGUUGGUGAGGUAAUGGCUCACCAAGGCGACGAUCAGUAGCUGGUCUGAGAGGAUGAUCAGCCACACUGGGACUGAGACACGGCCCAGACUCCUACGGGAGGCAGCAGUGGGGAAUAUUGGACAAGGGGGGCAACCCUGAUCCAGCCAUGCCGCGUGAGUGAUGAAGGCCUUAGGGUUGUAAAGCUCCUUCGCCAGGGAAGAUAAUGACUGUACCUGGAGAAUAAGCCCCGGCUAACUUCGUGCCAGCCGCCGCGGUAA
RNAcentral lists this ribosomal RNA (451 nucleotides) under uncultured bacterium. RNAcentral's name for it is "partial 16S ribosomal RNA". It matches the Rfam family "Bacterial small subunit ribosomal RNA", at positions 29 to 523 of the family's 1533-position model. The record is from RNAcentral.